RNAcentral lists this ribosomal RNA (253 nucleotides) under uncultured bacterium. RNAcentral describes it as "partial 16S ribosomal RNA". It matches the Rfam family "Bacterial small subunit ribosomal RNA", at positions 524 to 776 of the family's 1533-position model. The record is from RNAcentral.
UACAUAGGUCCCAAGCGUUGUUCGGAUUCACUGGGCGUAAAGGGUGCGUAGGCGGUCGGGUAAGUCUGACGUGAAAUCUCCAAGCCUAACCCGGAAACUGCGUUGGAAACUGCCUGGCUAGAGGAAUGGAGGGGAGACUGGAAUACUUGGUGUAGCAGUGAAAUGCGUAGAUAUCAAGUGGAACACCAGUGGCGAAGGCGAGUCUCUGGACAUUUCCUGACGCUGAGGCACGAAAGCCAGGGGAGCAAACGGG